UACGUAGGUGGCAAGCGUUGUCCGGAUUUACUGGGCGUAAAGAGCGCGCAGGCGGUCGUUCAAGUCGCGUGUGAAAGCCCCCGGCUCAACUGGGGAGGGUCACGCGAUACUGAUCGACUCGAAGGCAGGAGAGGGUAGUGGAAUUCCCGGUGUAGUGGUGAAAUGCGCAGAUAUCAGGAGGAACACCAAUGGCGAAGGCAGCUCGCUGGGACGGUACUGACACUGAGACGCGAAAGCGUGGGGAGCAAACAGG
Molecule: ribosomal RNA, 253 nt
Filed under: uncultured bacterium
Lineage: Bacteria
Description: partial 16S ribosomal RNA
Rfam family: Bacterial small subunit ribosomal RNA
Source: RNAcentral